CCCUUAGAUGUUCUGGGAUGCACGCGCGUUACACUGAUUCGUUCAACGAGUUUAUGACCUUGCCUGAUGAGGUGGGGGAAUCUUUUCAAAUCGCAUCGUGAUGGGGAUAGAGUAUUGUAACUGUUAGUCUUCAACGAGGAAUUCCUAGUAAGUACGUGUCAUCAGCUCGUACUGAUUAUGUCCCUGCCCUUUGUACACACCGCCCGUCGCUCCUACCGAUUGAGUGCUCAGGUGAGUAGUAUGGACUGCAUCAGUGUUCGGUCUCCGAAUGUUGACGCGAGAAAUUCUGUGAAUCUUAUUGCUUAGAGGAAGGAGAAGUCGUAACA
Molecule: ribosomal RNA, 326 nt
Filed under: uncultured eukaryote
Lineage: Eukaryota
Description: partial 18S ribosomal RNA
Rfam family: Eukaryotic small subunit ribosomal RNA
Source: RNAcentral